UAAGAGGGGGAGUAACAUCCGGAAACGGUGCUAAUACCGCAUAGUUUUCUUGAUCGCAUGAUCGGGAAAGGAAAGACGGCCUUUGUGCUGUCGCUUAUGGAUGGACCCGCGGCGUAUUAGUUAGUUGGUGAGGUAACGGCUCACCAAGACGAUGAUACGUAGCCGACCUGAGAGGGUGAUCGGCCACAUUGGGACUGAGACACGGCCCAAACUCCUACGGGAGGCAGCAGUAGGGAAUCUUCCGCAAUGGACGAAAGUCUGACGGAGCAACGCCGCGUGAGUGAAAGAAGGUUUUCGGAUCGUAAAACUCUGUUGUCAGAGAAGAACAAGUUGGAGAGUAACUGCUCCAGCCUUGACGGUAUCUGACCAGAAAGCCACGGCUAACUACGUGCCAGCCGCCGC
RNAcentral lists this ribosomal RNA (402 nucleotides) under uncultured bacterium. RNAcentral's name for it is "bacterial SSU rRNA". It matches the Rfam family "Bacterial small subunit ribosomal RNA", at positions 133 to 518 of the family's 1533-position model. The record is from RNAcentral.